RNAcentral lists this long non-coding RNA (215 nucleotides) under Elaeis guineensis (African oil palm). RNAcentral describes it as "long non-coding RNA (EGUI_LNC009854)". The record is from RNAcentral. Lineage: Eukaryota; Viridiplantae; Streptophyta; Magnoliopsida; Arecales; Arecaceae.
UAGUUUUCUCAGACUAAAUAUUAAGGUCACUAUUAUAUCCAUGAUAGGCCAUAAUCAUAUACGAACUACUUUUUUCGUUGGCAAAGAAAUAUACCAACUAUUAUUAUCCAUUGGCAGGGUCACAUACCAACUACUAUUAUCCAUUGACAGGAACAUAUGUCAAUUACUAUUUUUUAUUGGAAGAAUCAUAUGUUAAUUACUAUUAUCCAUUGGCA